This 253-nucleotide ribosomal RNA is filed under the name uncultured bacterium. RNAcentral's name for it is "partial 16S ribosomal RNA". It matches the Rfam family "Bacterial small subunit ribosomal RNA", at positions 524 to 776 of the family's 1533-position model. The record is from RNAcentral.
UACGUAGGGGGCCAGCGUUGUCCGGAUUUAUUGGGCGUAAAGAGCGUGUAGGCGGUUUGGUAGGUCCGCUGUGAAAACUCGAGGCUCAACCUCGAGACGCCGGUGGAAACCAUCAGACUAGAGUCCGGAAGAGGAGAGUGGAAUUCCUGGUGUAGCGGUGAAAUGCGCAGAUAUCAGGAAGAACACCAGUGGCUAAGGCGGCUCUCUAGUACGGUACUGACGCUGAGACGCGAAAGCGUGGGGAGCGAACAGG